UCCCGAUCGACUAUGACAAAUAUAGGUUUCGCUCAUCGAAAUUCCUCUGGGUCUGUUAUCUUCGCUCUAGAUUUGCUGACCUUGACCCAUCCAAAGACUAGAGGAUGAAACAUUUCGUUUUAUGCAAGCCCAAAUGUAUGAUUACACUUUUAUUGGGGUUUUUCCCUACAAGCAUGUUAUACAUUUUUUAGGAUGGGUAGGAAAUCUUAGAUAUUCUGACUGUUUUUUUCCAUUCUUUGUAGAUGUGGUUGUGUGCUUCAAUUUAUCCAAUUAUCUCGAUUUGUUUUUUUAUUUGAUGUGAUACAAGUGCUUGAUUUUUGUUUCAUCGAUAUGGUCUUCAUUUGUGUGCGCUCAAUUUUAACCCAAAUAUAGCAAUGACUUUUUCAAUUUGCUGUGUUUAGUUCUGUCUUGGUUAAAUUUGUGGCCUUUGCAGUACGUAUCAUGGCUGAUACGUGGUCAUGGAGUUCGUGCGACAGAAAUACCAUCCGAUGGUUUGUCACCCAAUUAGGCUUCUCUUCCCCAAAUGUGUAGGGUAUUUUAUACAUCAGUUUGACCUUUUACUCCAAUUUAUGUUCUUGGACAGGAAACACGGGCGCUCCUCCACGGAAAUUUCGAAAAGGUGAUCGAUCCCGGAGGAUGUGGACUGUACGAGAGGAGAAAAUAUUGGAUGCAUCAAUGCUUGAGCUCCUUGCUAGAGGAUGGAAAUCUGACAACGGCUUUCGUGCCGGGUAUUUGGGCAAGAUUGAGGACAGUCUGCGCAAGGAGUUUCCAAAUACCGACCUCAAAGGAACGUCCCAUAUCACCUCCAAGAUAACGGCGUGGAAGAGGAGCUAUACGAGCCUGACAAAAAUACUAGCAAGAAGUGGCAUGGGGUUCAAAUUCGGAUGGGAAAUACAUGAUUGAAUGCGAUGACGACCAAUGGGAGGCAAUCAUCUAGGCUGAUAAGGAUGCGAAGUUCAUGCGAACCAAGUCAUGGCUGUUAUGGGAAACGUUGAAGGCCAUAUUCGGAAAGGAUCGUGCUAGCGGUGUAGGGGCUGAACAGGUUGAUGAUGCGGCCAAUCGUAUGUGUGCCAAUGUCGCAGGUGGUAGUGAGGUCAAUGAAAAUGAUUACCAGCCAAGCUCCGACGGACAAGAGGCCGACAAUGUGGUUCGUUUGUCAUAGGUGUCGGGCAAUGAAGUCUACAACUCCGGUAACAACGACAAACAAACUUCUACCAACAAGUCCGGAGAUAGCCAGAAGCGCAAACACGAUGGAGCUGAUGCAACCCUCAUGGAGUUUCUCUCAAAUCUGCAUGUUGAGACGAACUCUCGUUUAGAGGUGAUUUCCUCGAGGAUCUGCUAUGAAUUUGAUCUUGGAAAGGCUAAGCAAGAUGUUUUCGACGAACUGGAAACUGUGGAAGGUCUCACGCUCGAUCAAAGGUAUGAACUAUGCAACAUCCUAAGUGACAAACCACAGCGCCUUGGUAUUCAUGGGAAUGCCUGUUCGCGCUUGUCUAGGAUAACUGUUGAAGCUUAUCGAGGAGAAUCUGGUUAGGAAGGAGACUGAUGAUGAAUUAGGUGCCUUUUUUGCUACUGUUUUUUGUUGUGCCACACUGAAGCAAAAAGGUAAUUAGUAUGACUCGCAUAUUUUGUACUCCCUCCGUCCUAAGUUACUUAAGUCAUUUCUCUUUUUGGCUAAAAAUAAAACAUCUAAUCACACCUACUUUAUUCUUUAUUUUAUUUUAUUUUACUCUCUCUUCUUUUUCUUACUUUAUUCCCUCCUCUACUUUAUUUAAUUCACUAAACACAACUUUCUUAAAUCUCGUGCUGAAAAGAAACACCUCAAGUAACGUGGGACGGAGGGAGUAUGUAGCUAGCGUGUAUUAGGAUUUGUACCUUUCCUGACUUAUGUUAUCUAUUUCCAGCGUUUGUAGAGUUGCGAUCACUUAGCCCUGCUCCUACUGUACGACUUGAUGCAUAUGCUAAAAAUUUGUGCUUGUAUUUAAAUUA
Salvia splendens (bonfire salvia) is the source of this 1989-nucleotide long non-coding RNA. RefSeq lists it as uncharacterized. The record is from RefSeq and is a predicted model, not a curated record. The transcript has 2 exons. NCBI's taxonomy places the organism in Eukaryota, Viridiplantae, Streptophyta, Magnoliopsida, Lamiales, Lamiaceae.